This is a transfer RNA of Camelus ferus (Wild Bactrian camel), 73 nucleotides long. It matches the Rfam family "tRNA". Rfam says of the family: Transfer RNA (tRNA) molecules are approximately 80 nucleotides in length. Their secondary structure includes four short double-helical elements and three loops (D, anti-codon, and T loops). NCBI's taxonomy places the organism in Eukaryota, Metazoa, Chordata, Mammalia, Artiodactyla, Camelidae. The record is from Rfam.
GAAGAUAUCGCUCAAGUGGUAGAGAGCCUACCUAGCGUGCACGAGUUCCUGGGUUCAAUCCCCAGUAUCUCCU